RNAcentral lists this ribosomal RNA (497 nucleotides) under uncultured bacterium. RNAcentral's name for it is "partial 16S ribosomal RNA". It matches the Rfam family "Bacterial small subunit ribosomal RNA", at positions 28 to 507 of the family's 1533-position model. The record is from RNAcentral.
GAUGAACGCUGGCGGCGUGCCUAAUACAUGCAAGUCGAGCGAACGGACGAGAAGCUUGCUUCUCUGAUGUUAGCGGCGGACGGGUGAGUAACACGUGGAUAACCUACCUAUAAGACUGGGAUAACUUCGGGAAACCGGAGCUAAUACCGGAUAAUAUUUUGAGCCGCAUGGUUCAAAAGUGAAAGACGGUCUUGCUGUCACUUAUAGAUGGAUCCGCGCUGCAUUAGCUAGUUGGUAAGGUAACGGCUUACCAAGGCAACGAUGCAUAGCCGACCUGGGAGGGUGAUCGGCCACACUGGAACUGAGACACGGUCCAGACUCCUACGGGAGGCAGCAGUAGGGAAUCUUCCGCAAUGGGCGAAAGCCUGACGGAGCAACGCCGCGUGAGUGAUGAAGGUCUUCGGAUCGUAAAACUCUGUUAUUAGGGAAGAACAUAUGUGUAAGUAACUGUGCACAUCUUGACGGUACCUAAUCAGAAAGCCACGGCUAACUACGUG